Molecule: transfer RNA, 68 nt
Filed under: chicken gut metagenome
Rfam family: tRNA
About the family: Transfer RNA (tRNA) molecules are approximately 80 nucleotides in length. Their secondary structure includes four short double-helical elements and three loops (D, anti-codon, and T loops).
Source: RNAcentral
GGGAGUGGCUCAGUGGUAGAGCGUUACCUUGCCAAGGUAAAUGUCGCGGGUUCGAAUCCCGUCUUCCG